Molecule: long non-coding RNA, 241 nt
Filed under: Pan troglodytes (chimpanzee)
Lineage: Eukaryota; Metazoa; Chordata; Mammalia; Primates; Hominidae
Description: long non-coding RNA NONPTRT017081
Source: RNAcentral
CAGAAGAAAUAACAAAAUGGAGAAAAGAAGGUGGUUUAGAAACAUAUUCCUUCCUCUCCAGGGAAAUAGUUAAAUUCUAAAAACAGCUGACACCUAUAACAGUAAGAUAACAAAUAAUUUCAAUUUUAAGUAAGAACUAUUCUCCCCUACUCAAAUAAAGGCAAUGGGGAAAUAAAAUUGCCUAAAAAAGUAUGCAGUGUCCUCCUGUAGUCAUCAUAUAAAAUAAUCAUCAUGUACAUCU